UGCUUCCUGAUGUCAGUCGUGAUU
RNAcentral lists this ribosomal RNA (24 nucleotides) under Oscheius tipulae. RNAcentral describes it as "partial 28S ribosomal RNA". Lineage: Eukaryota; Metazoa; Nematoda; Chromadorea; Rhabditida; Rhabditidae. The record is from RNAcentral.